This is a long non-coding RNA of Carassius carassius (crucian carp), 1689 nucleotides long. RefSeq lists it as uncharacterized. The transcript is spliced from 2 exons. NCBI's taxonomy places the organism in Eukaryota, Metazoa, Chordata, Actinopteri, Cypriniformes, Cyprinidae. The record is from RefSeq and is a predicted model, not a curated record.
UAUUUACAUAGUUUUUCGCUACUUGUAACUAAAUGACUGCAUGCAAAGUGCAACUUGGAUGAUGAUAUCAAACACAUGUUGAGUCAUAAAACCAGCAGAAUCAGCCAGGCAAAUGAAAUUAACCGAGUGAGGUGUCUUUCAAGACUCUUUGAGGAAGUACCACAGCCUGCUCAUGUCAUGUUUCGCAGAUAAAGAAAUCCAAAAUGCAGGCGGUGGCAGAACAGCCUCUGGAUGUGUGUAAUGAUUAGUGAGGACUAUAACUCGAAGGCUCAAACUACCUGGGACAGAUGCCAAAUGCUGACAAAGGCAAUCAUUGCAUUCUCAGGGGUGAGCAAAACCAACGCUUCGUCCUUUCGCGCUUCCUUUGGGAGGGUUAUUUAUAUUCCCAGAGAAACCACCGAAAGCAUUGACUAAUUGCUUGAAGGGUCGGUCACAUGCAUGGCUAAAGGGCAUGACAAAUAGUGUAAGUAUUAACCUGUUCUGGUGUUCUUUGCCUCUUCUACUGGGACCCGUUCAGCUGAUCAAGUGUUUUCCUUGAAUAUUCAAUUCUGAGCCCUUGUUUUCCAGACUGUGUACUUGGAAAUACUGUAACUGGGAAAUAAGGUUACAAGCUGACCUUCUUGCAUUCCCGUAAAAACAAGUGUGUCACAUUUUGCGUACUAGUUUGUCACUUGGGGUAGCAAUAACCGUACCUUUAUGGGCUCUUUGUAAUUUUCUGCAUGGCAUACCCUCUCGGCUUGAUCUCUGAUUUGUUUUAUGUUACUCAAACUCCCUUUCUUUCUACACCUCCUCUCCUUCUCUCAGUUUCUGUCUUUCACUUCGCAUCCUGUGCCAAAAUGGGCAGGGAGAAAGAGCUCGUGGUGAGGUGGGUGAAACGGAGGCCGCUGUAUGUGCUCUUUCUUCAGCCACAACCCCGAGGAAGAGCAUGUUUGGUGGUAGCACGUUUCUAGGUCUCUCUCCCUGAGAUAGGCGUAGUAUGUGCAUGAGUCUUCUCUUCUCGCCGCCAUGACCCUGCCUUGUGUUCUUUGAUGUUGAAGCCUCUAGUCUGCAGGAAUCCAGCGGUCUGCUUUCUGACUGGUUGACAUCUGCUCUGCUGUCCUUGGGGCUGAGGUAGUAGAUUGAAUAGUUGUGGAGCCCUGCGCUCUCUCUCUGAGAUAACUAUACAAUCUACUGUCUUUCCUAAGGUGACAGCCAAAUCAUCCACAAACACAUGUCUGUAUUCAUCCAAUGAGUCGUGAAGGAUAUUCGCUCAAGUUAAAGAAAUAAAACGGGUUUGGACUGAUGUGUCAUGUUGGCUUCAUUCAUACUCAAGCGUGUCAGGCGAUGGGAUUGGUGUCUUGACAGGGUGAGGUAGUAGGUUGUAUAGUUUGGUGGGAGGGAUCAAACCCUGUUCAGGUGAUAACUAUACAGUCUAUUGCCUUCCUUGUUGUGCCAACUAUCUGCCAGCUAGUGGAAAAUCCCUGGAGUUUAAAUAUUGCUUAAACUUUACAGCCAGCUUCACGCCACAUUAACUAUGUAUGUGAACACAGUGUGUAAACAGUGUGCUUAUUUCAGCAUCUAUGUAUACACACUGUCUGCAUAAGCAGAAACAAUUACACCGUAGUCACCACAACAUAUGUUGAAAAUACCCUAUAAACCUGUUUGUAGACUUUUAUUAAGCAGCUAAAUAAAUAUGUUCCAUUCAGUAAA